GGGGUUGUAGCUCAGUGGUAGAGUGCUUACCUAGCAUGUGUGAGGCCCUGAGUUUGAUCCUCAGCACUACA
Molecule: transfer RNA, 71 nt
Filed under: Marmota monax (woodchuck)
Lineage: Eukaryota; Metazoa; Chordata; Mammalia; Rodentia; Sciuridae
Description: tRNA.Ala
Rfam family: tRNA (bases 6-66)
About the family: Transfer RNA (tRNA) molecules are approximately 80 nucleotides in length. Their secondary structure includes four short double-helical elements and three loops (D, anti-codon, and T loops).
Source: RNAcentral